CUGCCGCUAGAUGGGGUGGGGGUGAAAGCAGUCCUUCUAAAAUCUCGCAUAAUCUCGUUUGCGGUUUUACACCAGAAUUUAACAUGGAGCGUGGGCACGCGUCGCUGACUGUGAACCAACUCAAACGCGAAUUACUUGAAUGUGGUGCCAUAACAACAUGAAGAAAAUGUGAAUUGAUUGAAAGGUUCUCCAAAGAAGGCCCAUAAUAUUGGGGGCAAUGCAAACUGUCGGUUACUGGACCCCAGGCCAGCCAACUUCAGACAUCGAGCAGGAUACAAUGAUUACUUCAGGAAUCUGACUUCACAUCAGUGCCAAAGAUAGAUGUAGCCACCAGAUAUGCCUACCCUAAAGCUGACUUACAGGCGGCAGUGGUGGACCACGACUAUUGCCAAGUGCCAUGGAUAGAAUAAAGCAUUGAUAGAGGGAAUGAUGUUGGGGAACAAACAGCAAGGACACUGAGCGUAGCACGUUACAACAAGGAAAGAGCGCAAUCUGGCACAAUGAGAGACAAUGGCAGUUCAUUGCUUCCAAAUUUGGAGAUAUAAUGGCAGCUACAGAGAAGAACAAACUGCAUGAGUCACUGUUGUGUCCAAAACCAUUGCAGACACAUGACAGUUGGUCCCAGACCUGAUUUCUCCUUUUUGGAAUGUGUAUCUGGUGCUCUGCGCCUAAAGAAAACACACAAAUACUAUACUCAGUUACAAGACCAGAUGUUCAUUACAAAUCCUCACUCUGCUAUUUUGUUGUGUUUACACGCAAAGAUCUGUUCGUGGAGUUGAUCCAUUCUGACACUGGAUAUUUGACAUGCAUUUUUCCCAGGCGCACCUUAUUUUAUGAAAAACACUAUAGGAAGUAUGUGGCAGCUAGUUUGUAGAAAGUAUGAGAUAGCUUAGCUGCAAUCACAAUUUUGAAGUGUCAUUGUGAAAAACAUGUUUUAGCUAAAAUGA
Long non-coding RNA from Lingula anatina, 947 nucleotides. RefSeq lists it as uncharacterized. The record is from RefSeq and is a predicted model, not a curated record. Lineage: Eukaryota; Metazoa; Brachiopoda; Lingulata; Lingulida; Lingulidae.